RNAcentral lists this ribosomal RNA (528 nucleotides) under uncultured Actinomycetes bacterium. RNAcentral describes it as "bacterial SSU rRNA". It matches the Rfam family "Bacterial small subunit ribosomal RNA", at positions 8 to 522 of the family's 1533-position model. Lineage: Bacteria; Bacillati; Actinomycetota; Actinomycetes. The record is from RNAcentral.
AGAGUUUGAUCAUGGCUCAGGACGAACGCUGGCGGCGUGCUUAACACAUGCAAGUGGUGCGACGAACCAGGGCUUGCCCUGGGGCAAAGCCGCGAACGGGUGAGUAACACGUGAGUAACCUGCCCCGAUGACCGGGACAACCCGAGGAAACUCGGGCUAAUACCGGAUGUGGCGCACUGGCGUAAGCCGGUUCGCUAAAGGAAGCUUCGGCCUCCGCAUUGGGAGGGGCUCGCGGCCCAUUAGCUUGUUGGUGGGGUAACGGCCUACCAAGGCAACGAUGGGUAGCUGGUCUGAGAGGACGAUCAGCCACACUGGGACUGAGACACGGCCCAGACUCCUACGGGAGGCAGCAGUGGGGAAUCUUGCGCAAUGCGCGAAAGCGUGACGCAGCAACGCCGCGUGGGGGAAGACGGCCUUCGGGUUGUAAACCCCUUUCAGGAGGGACGAAGGUUCACCGGUGAAUAGCCGUGUGGAUUGACGGUACCUCCACAAGAAGCUCCGGCUAACUACGUGCCAGCAGCCGCGGUA